GACGAACGCUGGCGGCGUGCUUAACACAUGCAAGUCGAACGGAGUGGCGAACGGGUGAGUAACACUUGGGUGACCUGCCCUGCACUUCUGGAUAACCCUGGGAAACUGGGUCUAAUACAGGAUAGUGUGGGUUGGGCUCGCGGCCUAUCAGCUUGUUGGGGGGGUAAUGGCUUACCAAGGCGGCGACGGGUAGCCGGCCUGGGAGGGGGGACGGCCACAAGAGGACUGAGACAGGGCCCAGACGACUACGGUGGGCAGCAGUGGAGAAUAUGACACAAUGGGCGGAAGCCUGAGGCAGCGACGCCGCGUGGGGGAUGACGGCUUUCGGGUUGUAAACUCCUUUCACCAUCGACGCGGUAGAUGGAGAAGAAGCACCGGCUAACUACGUGCCAGCAGCCGCGGUAAUAC
Molecule: ribosomal RNA, 408 nt
Filed under: uncultured bacterium
Lineage: Bacteria
Description: partial 16S ribosomal RNA
Rfam family: Bacterial small subunit ribosomal RNA
Source: RNAcentral